This is a long non-coding RNA of Micropterus dolomieu (smallmouth bass), 236 nucleotides long. RefSeq lists it as uncharacterized. The record is from RefSeq and is a predicted model, not a curated record. The transcript is spliced from 2 exons. NCBI's taxonomy places the organism in Eukaryota, Metazoa, Chordata, Actinopteri, Centrarchiformes, Centrarchidae.
UACAAGGAGAAUGAAGACUCACCAAAAGCAUCAGGACAGAACUUCACCAUCACUGACUUCAGAGCUGAACACAGUGGGAAUUAUUACUGUGAAGCCCAGAACAGAAGAGGACGUCAUAACUCCACCUUACAUCUGCUUGUUGUGGCAGAUAAAACAACAAUGAUAAUAAAUAUCAUCAGGUUGACUCUGGUGGUUGUGAUGCUGAUCCCUCUGCUUCUGGUUUGUCUGUGGAUGAG